GGAUGACCUGUGGCUGGGGGUGAAAGGCCAAUCAAACCGGGAGAUAGCUGGUUCUCCCCGAAAGCUAUUUAGGUAGCGCCUCGGAUGAAUACCUACGGGGGUAGAGCACUGUUUGGGCUAGGGGGUCAUCCCGACUUACCAACCCCAUGCAAACUCCGAAUACCGUAGAGUACUAUCCGGGAGACACACGGCGGGUGCUAACGUCCGUCGUGGAGAGGGAUACAACCCAGACCGCCAGCUAAGGUCCCAAAAUUAUUGCUAAGUGGGAAACGAUGUGGGAAGGCUAAGACAGCUAGGAGGUUGGCUUAGAAGCAGCCACCCUUUAAAGAAAGCGUAAUAGCUCACUAGUCGAGUCGGCCUGCGCGGAAGAUGUACCGGGGCUUAAGCCAUAUACCGAAGCUAUGGAUGCGUGUUUACACGCAUGGUAGAGGAGCGUUGUGUAAGUCUGUGAAGGUGUCCUGAGAGGGGUGCUGGAGAUAUCACAAGUGCGAAUGCUGACGUGAGUAACGAUAAUGCGGGUGAAAAACCCGCACGCCGAAAACC
Molecule: ribosomal RNA, 543 nt
Filed under: Azadinium spinosum
Lineage: Eukaryota; Dinophyceae; Gonyaulacales; Amphidomataceae
Description: partial Bacterial large subunit ribosomal RNA
Rfam family: Bacterial large subunit ribosomal RNA
Source: RNAcentral